UCGCCCAAGAGAUCGGGAUAACACCUGGAAACAAGAUGCUAAUACCGGAUAACAACAGAUGAUGCCUAUCAACUGUUUAAAAGAUGGUUCUGCUAUCACUCUUGGAUGGACCUGCGGUGCAUUAGCUAGUUGGUAGGGUAACGGCCUACCAAGGCGAUGAUGCAUAGCCGAGUUGAGAGACUGAUCGGCCACAUUGGGACUGAGACACGGCCCAAACUCCUACGGGAGGCAGCAGCC
Molecule: ribosomal RNA, 237 nt
Filed under: uncultured Lactobacillus sp.
Lineage: Bacteria; Bacillati; Bacillota; Bacilli; Lactobacillales; Lactobacillaceae
Description: partial 16S ribosomal RNA
Rfam family: Bacterial small subunit ribosomal RNA
Source: RNAcentral